Molecule: long non-coding RNA, 458 nt
Filed under: Cricetulus griseus (Chinese hamster)
Lineage: Eukaryota; Metazoa; Chordata; Mammalia; Rodentia; Cricetidae
Description: lncRNA (ENSCGRG00000025036.1)
Source: RNAcentral
CAUUGUUCAAUACUGCAUGCCCCAAAUAGUUUCAAUUAACUGUUCUUCUUUUCCUUUUCUUUUCUUUUUUUUUUCCUGGCAAUAUCUGCAGCUAUCUGCAUUGCUUUUAGGGAGUUAUUACUUCAUAGAUUUACAGAUGUUGGAACCCCAUCCCCCUUUGUUCCCACAAAGCACGUCACAGCAGAAAAUGCCAUGUCUGUGUGAAAUGGAGUGUCAGCAACAGCAGGGAAACCCCAUUCUUGUCGGAGCUGUUCAAGCAUCCCUUGCCUGCAAACUUGUAUCUAUGGGCUGACUCAAGCAAGGAUGCAUUUGCUUUGUCAGGCAGCUUGUUGAUAGAAGGGGAACUUGUGCUGAGAACUUGUUCGGGUUGACCUGACUCUGGCCAAGCAUCACCCUUUUUAAGACUCUGAGGAUGGGAUGCCACUGCUGUUGGCCGUGAACCAGCACGGUGAUGCGAU